CCUACGGGGGGCAGCAGUGAGGAAUAUUGGUCAAUGGCCGGAAGGCUGAACCAGCCAUGCCGCGUGAAGGUCAGUGCCCUAUGGGCGUUAAACUUCUUUUGUGCGGGAGCAAUAAUGGUCACGUGUGGCCAGACGAGAGUACCGUACGAAUAAGCAUCGGCUAACUCCGUGCCAGCAGCCGCGGUAAUACGGGGGAUGCAAGCGUUAUCCGGAUUUAUUGGGUUUAAAGGGUGCGGAGGGUGGGAGGUAAGUCAGCGGUGAAAUGCCGCCGCUCAACGGGGUGAAGUGCCAUUGAUACUGCCUGGCUGGAAUGCGGAUGCCGUGGGAGGAAUGUGUGGUGUAGCGGUGAAAUGCAUAGAUAUCACACAGAACACCGAUUGCGAAGGCAUCUCACGAAUCCGCGAUUGACGCUGAUGCACGAAAGCGUGGGUAUCAAACAGGAUUAGAUACCCUGGUAGUC
RNAcentral lists this ribosomal RNA (460 nucleotides) under uncultured bacterium. RNAcentral describes it as "partial 16S ribosomal RNA". It matches the Rfam family "Bacterial small subunit ribosomal RNA", at positions 338 to 795 of the family's 1533-position model. The record is from RNAcentral.